RNAcentral lists this ribosomal RNA (754 nucleotides) under uncultured Bacteroidota bacterium. Its description in RNAcentral is "bacterial SSU rRNA". It matches the Rfam family "Bacterial small subunit ribosomal RNA", at positions 8 to 757 of the family's 1533-position model. Lineage: Bacteria; Pseudomonadati; Bacteroidota. The record is from RNAcentral.
AGAGUUUGAUCCUGGCUCAGGAUGAACGCUAGCGGCAGGCUUAMYAYWUGCAAGUCGAGGGGUAACAGGAGUGCUUGCACACGCUGACGACCGGCGCACGGGUGCGUAACGCGUAUAGAACCUACCUUUUACAGAGGGAUAGCCUUUAGAAAUGAAGAUUAAUACCUCAUAGUAUUGAGAGUUGGCAUCAACUUUCAAUUAAAGAUUUAUCGGUAUAAGAUGGCUAUGCGUCCUAUUAGCUAGAUGGUAAGGUAACGGCUUACCAUGGCUAUGAUAGGUAGGGGUCCUGAGAGGGAGAUCCCCCACACUGGUACUGAGACACGGACCAGACUCCUACGGGAGGCAGCAGUGAGGAAUAUUGGACAAUGGGUGAGAGCCUGAUCCAGCCAUGCCGCGUGCAGGAAGACUGCCCUAUGGGUUGUAAACUGCUUUUAUACAGGAAGAAACACUCGGACGUGUCCGAGCUUGACGGUACUGUAAGAAUAAGCACCGGCUAACUCCGUGCCAGCAGCCGCGGUAAUACGGAGGGUGCAAGCGUUAUCCGGAAUCAUUGGGUUUAAAGGGUCCGCAGGCGGUCAAUUAAGUCAGAGGUGAAAUCCCAUAGCUUAACUAUGGAACUGCCUUUGAUACUGGUUGACUUGGGUUAUACGGAAGUAGAUAGAAUGUGUAGUGUAGCGGUGAAAUGCAUAGAUAUUACACAGAAUACCGAUUGCGAAGGCAGUCUACUACGCAUAUACUGACGCUCAUGGACGAA